UGAGGAAUAUUGCACAAUGGGCGAAAGCCUGAUGCAGCAACGCCGCGUGAGGGACGAAGGCCUUCGGGUCGUAAACCUCUUUUCUGGGGGUCGAGUAAGGACGGUACUCCAGGAAUAAGUCUCGGCUAACUACGUGCCAGCAGCCGCGGUAAAACGUAGGAGGCGAGCGUUAUCCGGAUUUACUGGGCGUAAAGCGUACGCAGGUGGCUUCGUUAGUCGGACAUGAAAGCUCCUGGCUUAACUGGGAGAGGUUGUUCGAUACUGCGGGGCUUGAGGUUGGGAGAGGGACGUGGAAUUCACGGUGUAGUGGUGGAAUGCGUAGAUAUCGGGAGGAACACCAGUGGCGCAAGCGGCGUCCUGGAACACACCUGACGCUGAGGUACGAAAGCGUGGGUAGCAAACAG
RNAcentral lists this ribosomal RNA (404 nucleotides) under uncultured bacterium. RNAcentral describes it as "bacterial SSU rRNA". It matches the Rfam family "Bacterial small subunit ribosomal RNA", at positions 355 to 775 of the family's 1533-position model. The record is from RNAcentral.